CCUACGGGUGGCACCAGUGGGGAAUAUUGCACAAUGGGGGAAACCCUGAUGCAGCCAUGCCGCGUGUAUGAAGAAGGCCUUAGGGUUGUAAAGUACUUUCGGUGAUGAGGAAGGUGCUCGGUCUAAUAGGCCAAGUAAUUGACGUUAAUUACAGAAGAAGCACCGGCUAACUCCGUGCCAGCAGCCGCGGUAAUACGGAGGGUGCGAGCGUUAAUCGGAAUGACUGGGCGUAAAGGGCAUGUAGGCGGAUGAUUAAGUUAGGUGUGAAAUCCCCGAGCUCAACUUGGGAAUUGCAUUUAAAACUGGUCGUCUAGAGUAUUGUAGAGGAAGGUAGAAUUCCACGUGUAGCGGUGAAAUGCGUAGAGAUGUGGAGGAAUACCGGUGGCGAAGGCGGCCUUCUGGACAGAUACUGACGCUGAGAUGCGAAAGCGUGGGGAGCAAACAGGAUUAGAUACCCGUGUAGUC
This 465-nucleotide ribosomal RNA is filed under the name uncultured bacterium. Its description in RNAcentral is "bacterial SSU rRNA". It matches the Rfam family "Bacterial small subunit ribosomal RNA", at positions 338 to 795 of the family's 1533-position model. The record is from RNAcentral.